UCACAACUCGAAGAAUUUUUGACGAUGAGAGCCAAAAGUUCAACGAUUUUUUGGGUCGAAAGAAAACCUUCGUCAAUAAAUUCUAAAAACGCAACGGUGCGGCAAGCACUGGAAAGGAAACAGCUUUUGAUGGCUCCUCGCACCUAGGAUGUUCCCGAAGUGUUACUUACCUAGCCUUUCACGGUAAGAAUAAAACUGAAUGAAAAAAUGGCGUCAGAAGGCUGGGGCUAGAUUCGCAAAACAAACGUGACAGCUGCAUGACAGCUAUCGGUGGAGCAUGCAUGACCUUGGCCAAAUAGGAAGAACCACCUGGCAUGACGGCGGCGAAGAAAAAUACAGUUUCCAACAUUCUGUCAGCGUCAGUCGGA
Molecule: small RNA, 368 nt
Filed under: Histoplasma ohiense
Lineage: Eukaryota; Fungi; Ascomycota; Eurotiomycetes; Onygenales; Ajellomycetaceae
Description: hypothetical lncRNA
Source: RNAcentral